Nicotiana tabacum (common tobacco) is the source of this 227-nucleotide non-coding RNA. The record is from RefSeq and is a predicted model, not a curated record. NCBI's taxonomy places the organism in Eukaryota, Viridiplantae, Streptophyta, Magnoliopsida, Solanales, Solanaceae.
UGAUGAUCUAAUGAUGGAAUCUUGAGGAACCUGUUCCUUUGCCUACAAAUCAAUGAUAUUGAGCCAUUCUGUCAGGAUGAGAUUGCCCUGUAUCGGCAAUGUGCAGAGAGAAGGGAUAAGGAGCUUAGGCAACGCCUUCAAGAUAGUGAACAGAAAUUAGAAUUGUCAACGCCUCUAGAUCAAGCAAAAGAACGAGCCACUCAACUAGAAUCAGAAGUCACAUUACU